RNAcentral lists this ribosomal RNA (2900 nucleotides) under Klebsiella pneumoniae. RNAcentral describes it as "bacterial LSU rRNA". It matches the Rfam family "Bacterial large subunit ribosomal RNA". The record is from RNAcentral. Lineage: Bacteria; Pseudomonadati; Pseudomonadota; Gammaproteobacteria; Enterobacterales; Enterobacteriaceae.
UUAAGCGACUAAGCGUACACGGUGGAUGCCCUGGCAGUCAGAGGCGAUGAAGGACGUGCUAAUCUGCGAAAAGCGUCGGUAAGGUGAUAUGAACCGUUAUAGCCGGCGAUGUCCGAAUGGGGAAACCCAGUGCAAUUCGUUGCACUAUCGUUAACUGAAUACAUAGGUUAACGAGGCGAACCGGGGGAACUGAAACAUCUAAGUACCCCGAGGAAAAGAAAUCAACCGAGAUUCCCCCAGUAGCGGCGAGCGAACGGGGAGCAGCCCAGAGUCUGAAUCAGCUUGUGUGUUAGUGGAACGGUCUGGAAAGUCCGACGGUACAGGGUGAUAGUCCCGUACACCAAAAUGCACAGGUUGUGAACUCGAAGAGUAGGGCGGGACACGUGGUAUCCUGUCUGAAUAUGGGGGGACCAUCCUCCAAGGCUAAAUACUCCUGACUGACCGAUAGUGAACCAGUACCGUGAGGGAAAGGCGAAAAGAACCCCGGCGAGGGGAGUGAAAAAGAACCUGAAACCGUGUACGUACAAGCAGUGGGAGCACCUUCGGGUGUGACUGCGUACCUUUUGUAUAAUGGGUCAGCGACUUAUAUUCUGUAGCAAGGUUAACCGUAUAGGGGAGCCGCAGGGAAACCGAGUCUUAACUGGGCGUUAAGUUGCAGGGUAUAGACCCGAAACCCGGUGAUCUAGCCAUGGGCAGGUUGAAGGUUGGGUAACACUAACUGGAGGACCGAACCGACUAAUGUUGAAAAAUUAGCGGAUGACUUGUGGCUGGGGGUGAAAGGCCAAUCAAACCGGGAGAUAGCUGGUUCUCCCCGAAAGCUAUUUAGGUAGCGCCUCGUGAACUCAUCUUCGGGGGUAGAGCACUGUUUCGGCUAGGGGGUCAUCCCGACUUACCAACCCGAUGCAAACUACGAAUACCGAAGAAUGUUAUCACGGGAGACACACGGCGGGUGCUAACGUCCGUCGUGAAGAGGGAAACAACCCAGACCGCCAGCUAAGGUCCCAAAGUCAUGGUUAAGUGGGAAACGAUGUGGGAAGGCACAGACAGCCAGGAUGUUGGCUUAGAAGCAGCCAUCAUUUAAAGAAAGCGUAAUAGCUCACUGGUCGAGUCGGCCUGCGCGGAAGAUGUAACGGGGCUAAACCAUGCACCGAAGCUGCGGCAGCGACACUAUGUGUUGUUGGGUAGGGGAGCGUUCUGUAAGCCUGCGAAGGUGUGCUGUGAGGCAUGCUGGAGGUAUCAGAAGUGCGAAUGCUGACAUAAGUAACGAUAAAGCGGGUGAAAAGCCCGCUCGCCGGAAGACCAAGGGUUCCUGUCCAACGUUAAUCGGGGCAGGGUGAGUCGACCCCUAAGGCGAGGCCGAAAGGCGUAGUCGAUGGGAAACAGGUUAAUAUUCCUGUACUUGGUGUUACUGCGAAGGGGGGACGGAGAAGGCUAUGUUAGCCGGGCGACGGUUGUCCCGGUUUAAGCAUGUAGGCUGGUUGUCCAGGCAAAUCCGGAUAAUCAAGGCUGAGGUGUGAUGACGAGGCACUACGGUGCUGAAGUAACAAAUGCCCUGCUUCCAGGAAAAGCCUCUAAGCAUCAGGUAACAUUAAAUCGUACCCCAAACCGACACAGGUGGUCAGGUAGAGAAUACCAAGGCGCUUGAGAGAACUCGGGUGAAGGAACUAGGCAAAAUGGUGCCGUAACUUCGGGAGAAGGCACGCUGGUGUGUAGGUGAAGUCCCUGCGGAUGGAGCUGAGACCAGUCGAAGAUACCAGCUGGCUGCAACUGUUUAUUAAAAACACAGCACUGUGCAAACACGAAAGUGGACGUAUACGGUGUGACGCCUGCCCGGUGCCGGAAGGUUAAUUGAUGGGGUUAUCCGUAAGGAGAAGCUCUUGAUCGAAGCCCCGGUAAACGGCGGCCGUAACUAUAACGGUCCUAAGGUAGCGAAAUUCCUUGUCGGGUAAGUUCCGACCUGCACGAAUGGCGUAAUGAUGGCCAGGCUGUCUCCACCCGAGACUCAGUGAAAUUGAACUCGCUGUGAAGAUGCAGUGUACCCGCGGCAAGACGGAAAGACCCCGUGAACCUUUACUAUAGCUUGACACUGAACAUUGAGCCUUGAUGUGUAGGAUAGGUGGGAGGCUUUGAAGCGUGGACGCCAGUCUGCGUGGAGCCAACCUUGAAAUACCACCCUUUAAUGUUUGAUGUUCUAACGUUGGCCCCUUACCGGGGUUGCGGACAGUGUCUGGUGGGUAGUUUGACUGGGGCGGUCUCCUCCUAAAGCGUAACGGAGGAGCACGAAGGUUAGCUAAUCCUGGUCGGACAUCAGGAGGUUAGUGCAAUGGCAUAAGCUAGCUUGACUGCGAGCGUGACGGCGCGAGCAGGUGCGAAAGCAGGUCAUAGUGAUCCGGUGGUUCUGAAUGGAAGGGCCAUCGCUCAACGGAUAAAAGGUACUCCGGGGAUAACAGGCUGAUACCGCCCAAGAGUUCAUAUCGACGGCGGUGUUUGGCACCUCGAUGUCGGCUCAUCACAUCCUGGGGCUGAAGUAGGUCCCAAGGGUAUGGCUGUUCGCCAUUUAAAGUGGUACGCGAGCUGGGUUUAGAACGUCGUGAGACAGUUCGGUCCCUAUCUGCCGUGGGCGCUGGAGAAUUGAGGGGGGCUGCUCCUAGUACGAGAGGACCGGAGUGGACGCAUCACUGGUGUUCGGGUUGUCAUGCCAAUGGCACUGCCCGGUAGCUAAAUGCGGAAGAGAUAAGUGCUGAAAGCAUCUAAGCACGAAACUUGCCCCGAGAUGAGUUCUCCCUGAGACUUUAAGUCUCCUGAAGGAACGUUAAAGACGAUGACGUUGAUAGGCCGGGUGUGUAAGCGCAGCGAUGCGUUGAACUAACCGGUACUAAUGAACCGUGAGGCUUAACCUU